This 468-nucleotide ribosomal RNA is filed under the name uncultured bacterium. Its description in RNAcentral is "partial 16S ribosomal RNA". It matches the Rfam family "Bacterial small subunit ribosomal RNA", at positions 28 to 507 of the family's 1533-position model. The record is from RNAcentral.
GACGAACGCUGGCGGCGUGCUUAACACAUGCAAGUCGAACGGAAAGGCCCUGCUUUUGUGGGGUGCUCGAGUGGCGAACGGGUGAGUAACACGUGAGUAACCUGCCCUUUACUUUGGGAUAACUUCAGGAAACUCGGGCUCAUACCGGAUAUGAGCUCCUGCUGCAUGGUGGGGGUUGGAAAGUUUCGGCGGUUGGGGAUGGACUCGCGGCUUAUCAGCUUGUUGGUGGGGUAGUGGCUUACCAAGGCUUUGACGGGUAGCCGGCCUGAGAGGGUGACCGGCCACAUUGGGACUGAGAUACGGCCCAGACUCGUACGGGAGGCAGCAGUGGGGAAUAUUGCACAAUGGGCGGAAGCCUGAUGCAGCAACGCCGCGUGCGGGAUGACGGCCUUCGGGUUGUAAACCGCUUUCGCCUGUGACGAAGCGUGAGUGACGGUAAUGGGUAAAGAAGCACCGGCUAACUACGUG